Molecule: ribosomal RNA, 422 nt
Filed under: uncultured Glomus
Lineage: Eukaryota; Fungi; Glomeromycota; Glomeromycetes; Glomerales; Glomeraceae
Description: SSU rRNA
Rfam family: Eukaryotic small subunit ribosomal RNA
Source: RNAcentral
AGCAGCCGCGGUAAUUCCAGCUCCAAUAGCGUAUAUUAAAGUUGUUGCAGUUAAAAAGCUCGUAGUUGAAUUUCGGGGUCAAUAAGUUGGUCGUGCCAAUGGUAUGCACUGGCUUUAUUGAUUCCUACCUCUUGACGAACUGUGAUGCCAUUAAUUUGGUGUUGCAGGAAAUCAGGACUGUUACCUUGAAAAAUUAGAGUGUUUAAAGCAGGCUUACGCUUGAAUACAUUAGCAUGGAAUAAUGAAAUAGGACGUUUGAACCUAUUUUGUUGGUUUCUAGGAUCGACGUAAUGAUUAAUAGGGAUAGUUGGGGGCAUUAGUAUUCAAUUGUCAGAGGUGAAAUUCUUGGAUUUAUUGAAGACUAACUACUGCGAAAGCAUUUGCCAAGGAUGUUUUCAUUAAUCAAGAACGAAAGUUAAGGG